UGAGGAAUAUUGGUCAAUGGCCGGAAGCCUGAACCAGCCAUCCCGCGUGAAGGAAGAAGGCCUUAUGGGUUGUAAACUUCUUUUCUGUUUGAAGAAUAAGCUUGUCGAGACAAGUGAUGCCGGUAGGACAGGAAUAAGCAUCGGCUAACUCCGUGCCAGCAGCCGCGGUAAUACGGAGGAUGCAAGCGUUAUCCGGAUUUAUUGGGUUUAAAGGGUGCGCAGGUGGUUUAAUAAGUCAGUGGUGAAAGUCUGCCGCUUAACGGUAGAAUUGCCAUUGAUACUGUUGGACUUGAAUAUGGAUGAGGUAGGCGGAAUGUGUAGUGUAGCGGUGAAAUGCUUAGAUAUUACACAGAACACCGAUCGCGAAGGCAGCUUACUAAUCCAUGAUUGACGCUGAGGCACGAAAGCGUGGGGAUCAAACAG
This 423-nucleotide ribosomal RNA is filed under the name uncultured bacterium. Its description in RNAcentral is "bacterial SSU rRNA". It matches the Rfam family "Bacterial small subunit ribosomal RNA", at positions 355 to 775 of the family's 1533-position model. The record is from RNAcentral.